Molecule: ribosomal RNA, 430 nt
Filed under: uncultured bacterium
Lineage: Bacteria
Description: partial 16S ribosomal RNA
Rfam family: Bacterial small subunit ribosomal RNA
Source: RNAcentral
GAACGCUGGCGGCAUGCCUAACACAUGCAAGUCGAACGAGACCUUCGGGUCUAGUGGCGCACGGGUGCGUAACGCGUGGGAACCUGCCCUUAGGUUCGGAAUAACUCCCCGAAAGGGGUGCUAAUACCGGAUAAUGUCUUCGGACCAAAGAUUUAUCGCCUUUGGAUGGGCCCGCGUUGGAUUAGCUAGUUGGUAGGGUAAAAGCCUACCAAGGCGACGAUCCAUAGCUGGUCUGAGAGGAUGAUCAGCCACACUGGGACUGAGACACGGCCCAGACUCCUACGGGAGGCAGCAGUGGGGAAUAUUGGACAAUGGGCGAAAGCCUGAUCCAGCAAUGCCGCGUGAGUGAUGAAGGCCUUAGGGUUGUAAAGCUCUUUUACCCGGGAUGAUAAUGACAGUACCGGGAGAAUAAGCUCCGGCUAACUCCGUG